This is a long non-coding RNA of Musa acuminata AAA Group (dessert banana), 4726 nucleotides long. RefSeq lists it as uncharacterized. The transcript is spliced from 3 exons. The record is from RefSeq and is a predicted model, not a curated record. Lineage: Eukaryota; Viridiplantae; Streptophyta; Magnoliopsida; Zingiberales; Musaceae.
UAUUGUCCUUAUUCUACUCUCGUUAUCUGUUGUUUCUUUCUCGUUUACAACAAUCACUCGACUUUUAACGUCAAAAUUUUCAAGUGUAGUAAACGGAAAGCUACGCAAGUUAACUAUAAUUAGCCCCCCGUCGGUUCUCCGUUUCUCGCCGGAGUUCGUCGAGAGUCCCCAUCUCCCUCCUCUUCUUUCAAUCACCACGGGUCUCGCGACUAUCGGCAGGGGGCCUCAUGUGAGUCGGCCUCUCCGUGCUCUACAAUGGGGACGCCGGUCCCUUGGCGACCUAAGCCGUGAGCUUUCCUCGCAUUGUGGAGCGGCAGCGCAUUGGUACGGAGGGCAAAGUUUGUCGUCGGAAGACCGUCGGCUGCGCCCUAUGACGUUGCCACGACGAGGCCAUGAUGAGACAAUGGUCUUCGGCAAUUCUCAGCCUGUGAGAAAUCCCUGAAUGCACCAAGUUCAAGGGGGUGCAAUCAUGUAUUUGAUUCUGUCUAUCCCGGUUUGUGCCCACUGAUAUGUUCUGUGUGUCGUAGUGUUGGCAUGUGUAUUGUGCCUUGUCGAGGAUGUGCCCAUACAAUACGAGCUUUCCAUGGAGCUCAUGUCAAUCUGUUGCUAAUGUUACUGAUUGGCACUUACCAUAAUAGUAUAUAUAUGACAUGCACUUGUGUUGCCAAAAUUAAAGCUCCAAGUUCCAACAGACGGCAAGAAGCUGCAGCUCUGAAAAAGUGGUGUGGAGGUGUAAUUUCCAGCGAAAAGUGCAUAGAUAACUUCGAGCAUUGAAGGUAGAUUAGGUGAUCUUAUCGUGCAUUUAAGGUGUACAUGGUAUUGCUUAAAUCCAUUCAUUAGUGGCAGAAAUGCUGACACUCCCUGAAGUUUUUAAGAAUUGGUCUUAGAUGGUCCUUACUCCCUGUACUAAUACAUUUAUGAUUAAUCCUUUUCCAUUCUCAACCAAGGGCUUGUUUUACGUUCCUUUUCUUUAAUUUCCGCCAAUAAAGCUAUCAAAAAAUUGGCAUAGUUUUCAGAGUAUGUCUCUGCUUUUUGAAAUCUUGCCUCAGCCCAUCAUAAACAAGGACUAGCAAUGUACACACUAGUAAACAUAACAAAUUAGCUUGUUUUUGUUUAUUUUUUAAAGGUACCAUGCCUACACAUUUAUUUGGUUUUGUCUUCUGGUUUAUUUUGUACCUGAAAUGAUAUAUGCAACUACUUGUUCUAAAUAAUUAGAACCUUGUCCUAGUAAUAUCACACAAUUUCAAGUAAGAAACAUGAGGAAGGAAAGCACAUCAAAAUUGAAAUUCACACAUCUGUGAUAAGAUGGUCUAUGCAUGGCAUUUGUUUCUGGAUUGAAUAGUUGUUUUUUCACUUUAGUUUGUACUGUACCACACACUAAUGAUAAGGUGUCAUUAUUGUUCUUUUCUUUUAUUCUUGGUUUCUCUUUAUUUUUUUUUCAUUUGUCUCCAUAGGACAUUUUGCUGGAAGUUAUAUAUGGUCUGUUGAUGCUUGAGGAGCAUCAUCUGUGUGGUGCAUUCAUUGGGCACAUUGGAUGUGCUCUCUAUGUCUUACAUAUCCUUCAUCAUCAUCAUCUUAUUUUGUAAUUGUGCUCCCCGAUAAGGUUUUUAAUCUUUAAUGAUACAUUCCAUAGUCUUCAAAAUUGCAGACCAGUUUUGCUCCUAAUCAGUAAUCAGAGUGGAGGAUGAUUAAGAGUUUUGAAGGUUAAAAUCUUUCAGUAAGUGCAUUGAAUGGCUCCUUGUUGUUUGAUAGCUAGCAAACUUUUUGUGGCCAUUGAUGAAGGUGUUCUAGGUCUUCCACAAUGGAUGUCAUAAUUUUUUAUGGCACCAUCAUUAUUAGUGGUAUAUUUUGUUUUGACUUAUUGUACAGAUCCCUCCAUUUUACUCUGUUUCAUCUGCUGGCUUUUAGGCCUUGAAGCUUAUGUUGUUAUAUUUUUUUCAUGUUUGUCAAGUCAUAUUAAUGUAAGAAACAAGAAAAAGGAAAACUAUUUUCGUUGCUUUAUGGUCGGUAAAUCUAAAUUUUUGUCUGAUCUUGUUUUUAUGUAUCCUGAAGCAUUUGGAAACUGCUGAAAAUAUAUGUUGUGGCAAAUUGAAAGUUGAGAAUGGUUCUUUUUGUGCUGGCUACUUUUCUGCAUUUCAAAGGUCAAGUAAAAGCACUUUUAUUUCUAUAGUUCUUUGUUUCACAAACCUUUUUUUUCUAGAAUAUUCUGAUCAGAGCUUGUCUAUUGUGUGUCACUAAUUAUGAUGCCUGUUGAUUCUUUGAGGUAGGAACUAUUUGCAUACAGCAAAAUUAUGCUGGACAUCUUAUCUUGUCCUAGGUUCCCUUGUUCCUUGGCCACAAGAGAGUUCUGUGUACCUUCAUUCUCGGCUGGCUGCCGAUGACAGUUUCAACAACUUAUUAUUACAAUUUUUUUAUUGGAACUAUCCACAAUUUAGAUCAGAAGCAUUGGUUGUAAUGGUCCCUGUCACACUCUAGUCAGCAUCUUCAAUAUGCAUUAGCCAUCUUAAUUGGAUUUGUACAAAAUUUGGAGAGUACUAUUCCAGCUGGCGAGGAUUGUGUAUUUGUGUGAUUGUUCAAUAGAUUCUCGACUAAAGCAUGUGCAAGCUGAAGAAAAUAUAAGCUUACUUCUUAGGAUAAAUGCAAGCUUUGAGAUCUUUCAUAGAAUAUUAUGCUACACUCAAUAGUUAGGUCAUCCAUUCUUUCUCUUCUUCUAUCUUUCGUUUUCAUGUACACCUCAUUGAUAGAGUACAGGUCAAAGGGGCACAAGCUAUUCUUAUUCUACAUAUUCUUUAUUCCCGGUGUUAUGGUCUAUCUUUCUCCUUUUCUCUCCACUAGUCCCACAGUGAGGUCAUUUGGGCCAUGUUUUCUACUUUUUUCCUGCCUCUGAUGGAUGCUUUGUCAAAGUGGUUUGCUUUUGAGCUUGAGUGCCUUAAUCCCGAAAGAAGCUUCCAAUCAGCUGAUGACAAAGAGGGAGCUCAAAAGCUAAAUGAAAGUUAUCCUCAUGUAACAUCAAAAGAAGCUGACUUUACUGAGUUGUUUGAAGGACAGAUCCUACUGAUCUAACUUUUAGUUUCUUUCAGCUCAUAAGACAGAAAUUGGCCAUUGUUAUGCACUAAAAUAUUUUGUUACUUUUGAUGAAAAAAAAUCUCUUUUUAUCAUUACAUAAUAAUUUUUUUCUUCUGAAAAUUAUGGAAACAACUUCUGUGUUUAUAAGCGUAAGAUUGUAUGCAUUGAUCUUAGUUAGAUCUGAAACAAAUAAAUGAGAUUGUCAAAGGCUAUUUUGCUGCUGAAGAUUAUUUUUUAACAAUGAUAAACAAAUAUUCUUUUAUGCUAUGCCUCAAUUAAAUAGUUGUAGAAUAGUUAUCAUAAACUCUGAUUUUUGUACAGCUGAAGGCCUGGUCACUAGUAGCAUGUGAAGCAACACAUUGGCAGGUGAUAUUCCAUGAUUUUUCGAUUGCUUCUUGCAUUCUUUUUCUCAUUUCCUUCACCUGGAUUUAUGAAUCAUAUGCUGCCAUUAUAGUUAUAUGCUUCAUGUUAUGGGUUCCUUUUUAUGUGGAAAUUAACUUGUCUGACCAUAAUUUGAAGGUUUUUAUGAGUAUAGCUAGUACUUCAAGCUUAAUACCAAUAGGCAUAAUGAUGAAACAUGGCCCUCCUCAUUCAUUGCCUUCUUUCAUGUUGGAUUUAGAAACUCUUGGGUCAAACAUAGUGACUUUGUUAGUUGGUCAACCAUCAGAUAAAUGGAUACAGAUAUAGGUCAGAUUCCAAAAUGGAACUGUGGGAGUGGAAAUGCCAACAGUCAUUAAGUAGUUAGUAGUCAUUUGGUCUCAAAGUGGUUGAGCAUUUCAUGUGUUGACUUAUCAUCAGCCCUUUUGACUGAGAAAUCUUCUGCCUCCACUAAAUUUUGUUUGACUAAUGAGAGAAAGUUAGAUGGUGCUAAGGUCUGGAGAAAUCAGUGAGCUGGAUUUGUCUGUGUGCAUCUUGUUUUUUUUCUUGUUUUAAUCAGUUGGUGGUAAUAUGGUGGAUCUAAUUCUUUCCAUUUGCCUAACAUAGGUGGUUUCUUGAUUCCCAAUUUCCUUUUGUGAUGUAUAAUAACUUCUAUAGAGCAUGUUAGCAUAGCGUGCCCAUGUUUCUGAGUAGUACUAUGUUCUCCCUUGUGAUUGUGAAGAAUAAGAGAGAGGAUGCUUCUGUUUGGUAGGACACACUUGGGUUGUGGCCCUGGAAAAGGAGACUUUGCUGGCUGUGGCAGAAACUUAGGACUAUGUUAAGUGGGAGAAGAGAUGGGCCCAUGGGGAACUUUCUCUUUUCCUUGUCUUGUUCUCACUCAACCUUCUUCACACCCUAUGCAGUCUGUUGCUUGUAUUAUUGCAGGAACAUUUGGAAGUAGCUGUUUCUGUCAUCCUUCUAUUCCCCACUUGACAGACAAGCAAGCCAAUUUAGACCUCUCUUCUUAUAUCCGAGCUUUCCUGGUCCUAUUCCUAUCUGCUGUACUUUUAACCCUCAUGAACUAAUGUCAUGCUUGUCUUUAUAGAUCCAGGAAUCAGAGGAGGAUGCAGUUCUGAUGGCAGCCAGUAAAGAACCUAAGCAAAUGAGGCAACACUCUUGUUCGAUGAAGCUACUUUGCAAGCUUUCAGCUUCUUCUUUCAGUAGAAGAUCAGAAGCUCUGCUCCUCUACGAGGCCUCCUGGAAGUUCAGAGAUCGACAAAGUGCUGCCGGGUUGACAUGCAGC